CCGAGCGUCCCGGCAUUGAGAACAAACAAACUCAGAUAACUAUGAGUUUAUUUGAAAACGAAACUUCCCGAGUUCAGUAACAUAAAAAUACACUCCCCGCUGUUAUGGAGCUCAGGGUUCAACCUGAGGCCGUCACUAUGCAACAAUUGAUGAAACUGCAACUGAAAAGCCCUGCGACAGACUGGCGACCUGUGUCCCCUGCCUUCGCCCGAGUCAGCUGGGAUAGGCUCCAGCACCCCCCGCGACCCUAGUGAGGAUUAAGCGGUGUAUAGAUAAUGGAUGGAUGGAUGGAUGAAGCAGUGGGCUGGAGGAAGGUCAGCAGCAGCAUCCCACAGUGAACAUGAUGGAGACUAGGCCAGUUGGUGGGAGAACGACCACAGAUCUGAAGCAUCCAGCUCUGGGACCAGGGACACACGGAAAAAGGACACAGAGAGAAACAGAGUGAGUGUAAUGCAAUAAUGGUAUAUAUAGUAAAUACAUAGGUAGUUAGAGAAGGGCUCAGUGCAUCAAGAGAGGUUCCCCAGCAGCCUAGGCCUAUAGCAGCAUAACUU
This is a long non-coding RNA of Amphiprion ocellaris (clown anemonefish), 551 nucleotides long. The record is from Ensembl. Lineage: Eukaryota; Metazoa; Chordata; Actinopteri; Pomacentridae.